CGGUUUUGAGUGCGGUGUAUGUCA
RNAcentral lists this non-coding RNA (24 nucleotides) under Arabidopsis thaliana (thale cress). Lineage: Eukaryota; Viridiplantae; Streptophyta; Magnoliopsida; Brassicales; Brassicaceae. The record is from RNAcentral.